This 524-nucleotide long non-coding RNA is filed under the name Physcomitrium patens. Its description in RNAcentral is "long non-coding RNA (PPAT_LNC007761)". Lineage: Eukaryota; Viridiplantae; Streptophyta; Bryopsida; Funariales; Funariaceae. The record is from RNAcentral.
CAGAAAAACAGUUUCAUGAAUUAAAGGUCAAAUGAUACAGAGUAGGGGAAUCUAUAGCAUAAACUAGGAGACAUCCUCCAUAGCCAGGAUGGCCUGACUAUGUUGCCUACAAUUUUCUCCCCUUUUCUACGACGGAGUAUUAGUACAAAUGGACUGCAAAAUGUAAUGCCAACGGGUAUCGUGAAAAUCGGCCCCCUAUCAGAACGCUCUACUGGUUCAUUCCAACGUUGAGGUUAGACAGAGGCAGCAACUGGUGUGCCAUAUGUUAUACCGGUUUUGGCGUUCGCAGCCCUAGAUUGGUCAUAUCCAUCAUCGCUAGUUCCGAAGAAGCCUGUUUGUAACGACAGGAGGUAAACCUCGAAGAAAGCAAGGAUGAUUGUCAAGGCUUCCAAAAUUUUCUGCGCCAGACACAAAUUUUUAGAUGAGACACUGCAGAGUUUCAAAGAAGGGACUCCUGUCGUAUCAAACACUAUUUGAUGUUCUACAUUUAUGAAAACAGAAAUGCAAAUGUGAACACAUCUAAA